UACGAAGGGGGCUAGCGUUGCUCGGAAUGACUGGGCGUAAAGGGCGCGUAGGCGGCUCAUACAGUCAGGCGUGAAAUUCCUGGGCUCAACCUGGGGACUGCGCUUGAGACGUGUGGGCUUGAGUGGGGAAGAGGGUCGUGGAAUUCCCAGUGUAGAGGUGAAAUUCGUAGAUAUUGGGAAGAACACCGGUGGCGAAGGCGGCUCACUGGCUCGUAACUGACGCUCAUGCACGACAGCGUGGGGAUCAAACAGG
This 253-nucleotide ribosomal RNA is filed under the name uncultured bacterium. Its description in RNAcentral is "partial 16S ribosomal RNA". It matches the Rfam family "Bacterial small subunit ribosomal RNA", at positions 524 to 776 of the family's 1533-position model. The record is from RNAcentral.